UUUAAAUUACAAUUAAAACAUGUUUUUUAACAUUUAGUAAAAAUGUAUGCAAUCAUGUUGGUAGUUUUUGUUCUUGUUGAAUUUGUCACUCCUGCUUGUUUUAAAGUCCUGACUUUUAAAGAUGACAUCUAUGGGACACAGGCCUAUAUGCAGCUAGUAAAUAGCUCAAGAAUUUGAAAGUAUGAUUUUGUUACAUUGUUCAAAUAUGCAAUACAUUUUUGCUUAAACUUUACACUUUCCAUUUAUUAGACCUGGGAAUGGUUGACAGACAAGAUGGAGGGUAUUUGGAUCUGCCAAAACUAGAGGACUGGAGUCAGAAAAAAGAAGGAAGAAAACAGAGGCAGAGUUCUUAGAUGAUGAGGACAACUGAGGAUCCACCGGACACCAUUAGCCUCCCUGUGAAUGACAGAGCUGCAGGACAGUUCUGUGUAUGACUUGACGGGAGGUUGUCUUAUCUUUGAAAAGUUUGCCAAACACAGCAGCACCAUCAAGACUUCAACCUGGCUGUUCUGUGUGUGCUAUUCUUCAGAUCUGAACUGAACAUGGUCUUCAGGUGUUGCAGGAUUUCCUGUGCAGUCCUCUUCUUUCGAAACUGCAGAUACUUCUGUCCUUGCUCGACCAAAUGUGUUUUUUUGCUGGUUCUUGGAACUGUGCAAUUUCUGGUAGAUGAAAGAAGGUAAACAUCUCAAAGGAAGGGGAAAUGUUCAAACAUUCUUUUUUCCAUGACUUAGGAGCAAGUAAUUUGCUGUCAUUUGUGCUGUCGACCAAGCACUGAAUGCAUAAAUAAACAUAUUUUGAGAUACUGAA
Molecule: long non-coding RNA, 807 nt
Organism: Labeo rohita (rohu)
Lineage: Eukaryota; Metazoa; Chordata; Actinopteri; Cypriniformes; Cyprinidae
Exons: 2
Source: RefSeq, a predicted model, not a curated record